ACCCCCGUAACUUCGGGAGAAGGGGGGCCCAGAGGGUGACGGGACUUGCUCCCCGAGCCUGAACGGCCGCAGAGACCAGGGAGAAGCGACUGUUUACUAAAAACACAGGUCCGUGCCAAGUCGCAAGACGAUGUAUACGGACUGACGCCUGCCCGGUGCUGGAACGUUAAGGGGACCGGUUAGCCUCACGGCGAAGCUGAGAACUUAAGCGCCAGUAAACGGCGGUGGUAACUAUAACCAUCCUAAGGUAGCGAAAUUCCUUGUCGGGUAAGUUCCGACCUGCACGAAUGGCGUAACGAUUUCUCCACUGUCUCAACCACGAACUCGGCGAAAUUGCACUACGAGUAAAGAUGCUCGUUACGCGCAGAAGGACGGAAAGACCCCGGGACCUUUACUACAGCUUGGUAUUGGUGUUCGGUACGGCUUGUGUAGGAUAGGUGGGAGACUGUGAAGCUGACACGCCAGUGUCGGUGGAGUCAACGUUGAAAUACCACUCUGGUCGUUCUGGAUAUCUAACCUAGGUCCGUGAUCCGGAUCAGGGACAGUGCCUGGUGGGUAGUUUAACUGGGGCGGUUGCCUCCUAAAAGGUAACGGAGGCGCCCAAAGGUUCCCUCAGCCUGGUUGGCAAUCAGGUUUUGAGUGUAAGUGCACAAGGGAGCUUGACUGUGAGACUGACAAGUCGAACAGGGACGAAAGUCGGGACUAGUGUUCCGGCGGUGGCUUGUGGAAGCGCCGUCGCUCAACGGAUAAAAGGUACCCCGGGGAUAACAGGCUGAUCUUGCCCAAGAGUCCAUAUCGACGGCAUGGUUUGGCACCUCGAUGUCGGCUCGUCGCAUCCUGGGGCUGGAGUAGGUCCCAAGGGUUGGGCUGUUCGCCCAUUAAAGCGGCACGCGAGCUGGGUUUAGAACGUCGUGAGACAGUUCGGUCCCUAUCCUCUGCGCGCGCAGGAAACUUGAGAAGGGCUGUCCCUAGUACGAGAGGACCGGGAUGGACGAACCUCUGGUGUGUCAGUUGUUCUGCCAAGAGCACCGCUGAUUAGCUACGUUCGGGAGUGAUAACCGCUGAAAGCAUCUAAGCGGGAAGCAUGCUUCAAGAUGAGGUUUCCAUGGGGUUUACCCCGAGAGGCUCCCAGCUAGACUACUGGGUUGAUAGGCCGGAUGUGGAAGUGCGGUAACGCAUGGAGCUGACCGGUACUAAUAAGCCGAUAACUUGUC
Molecule: ribosomal RNA, 1214 nt
Filed under: metagenome
Description: bacterial LSU rRNA
Rfam family: Bacterial large subunit ribosomal RNA
Source: RNAcentral